Molecule: long non-coding RNA, 1421 nt
Filed under: Notechis scutatus (mainland tiger snake)
Lineage: Eukaryota; Metazoa; Chordata; Lepidosauria; Squamata; Elapidae
Description: lncRNA (ENSNSUG00000004813.1)
Source: RNAcentral
UGGGGUUGGGGCUGGUGGAGGUGCCCCCCCCCCCACUCCCCCUCUGCUUCCCCCCCCCUCCCCCCCCCAGUGCUUCCCCCAGCCCUUCGGUCACAGGGCAGCCUUCUGAGCUGGUGCAGCAACUGGGAGAUUUGGCCGAAACAGAAAUCAAUUGUUGAAAGUGCCCUGGGCGGGUUCCUUUGCCCCCCACCCCGGGGGAGAAACGUGAGCCGAAGAUCUUCCCCACUCUCUGCAUGGCCGGUCUCUUUGCGAGGGGAGGAUGGGGGGGUGGAGCAGGACCCCCCCCCGCCCCUUGGAACUGCUGACACCACAAACUCUUUUGAACGGAGGAGACUGAAGCCUGGGGCCCCUCGGAGCCCCCCAGGCGGCCCAGCUCCGGGGCGCAGGGGCUCACGGAAGGCGUCCAGCCCCCUCCAGCCUGGGCGGAGGACAGAGCGGGCCCAGCCUGGGGGGGCUUCGGAGGAGAAGGGCGUGCAGAGGAGGUCCGCUCUCCCCAAGCCCCACAACCACCGUAGUCGCUUCCUCCGGGGGGCGCUGCGGAAACGGAGGCUGCCCACUUGGAGAAGGUUGCAAAAGACGGACGCUCUUUCGUCAUGCCGGCUUCCUGAAGUGUCGCGACGCUUCCUCUCUCGUGCACUGCCCACCUCGGGGGGCUUUUGGGAAAGGCAGCUGGCCGAGGCCGGGAUCCUCUCAGCCAGCCUGUAUCUGGGGGGGGGGGGGGGGGGGGGGGGGGGGGAGCCCCAUUUUCAGCACUGUAUCACGGAAGGCGUCUCGGAAGCCUCUCUGCACCCAUCUCCCUGCUCCAGGACACUUGUGGGCCUGGGUUAGUCGGCCCCACCAGCCAGCCCGGCCUUGACCUCCGAGCCAUUGGGAGCCGGAGUCCAGAGUACCGUUUUCCAGUGGUUUUUAGUAUUCUACCGACGGACCAAACUUCACCUCCUGCCGUUGAGAUUUCAGUAUUAAACCCCUUUUGAGAAGCUUGUAAAACGCCAGUCAGGGUUUCUAGCUCUGCCUUCAACCUCCCUUCUGGCUCAUAUUUUUUAGCAAUCUGUAAGAAUCCGAAUUCAUUUGCACGUACGAAGCAUCCUCUUGGGUUGCACUUGGAGGUGGCACAUCUUUCUGGCCCGAGCAAAGCCUCUCAGAAGCAGCGAUUGUUCCGAAAAGGUUUUAGGGUGUUGUUGAGGGGGACGUACCUCUAUCUGGGAGGGAGAACACCUGUUUUUGUUCCUUCCGUAUUUGAAGGGAGAGCAAGAAAGUGAAAAAGGACAGUUGUGUUCCCAGUGAGUUUUAUAGAUAUUUUUGUGAAGCAUUUAACGAGAAAUGGGCCAACAUUGAAUGUUGGCUGCAGAGAAGAUGGAUGAAGGUAGGUCCCUGAGAUCAGGGUAAAUAAAAGGCCAGCUCUAUUUUUGAGAAAAGAAUUU